GAUGAAGAACGCAGCGAAAUGCGAUAAGUAAUGUGAAUUGCAGAAUUCAGUGAAUCAUCGAAUCUUUGAACGCACAUUGCGCCCCUUGGUAUUCCGAGGGGCAUGCCUGUUCGAGCGUCAUUAUAACCCCUCAAGCUCAGCUUGGUGUUGGGGCCUGCUGCACUGGCAGCCCUUAAAAUCAGUGGCGGCGCCAUCUGGCUCUAAGCGUAGUAAUUCUUCUCGCUAUGGAGUCCUGGUGGAUGCUUGCCAUCAACCCCCAAUUUGUCUAUGGUUGACCUCGGAUCAGGUAGGGAUACCCGCUGAACUUAAGCAUAUCAAUAAGCGGAGGA
This 329-nucleotide unclassified non-coding RNA is filed under the name soil metagenome. Its description in RNAcentral is "partial contains 5.8S ribosomal RNA, internal transcribed spacer 2, and large subunit ribosomal RNA". The stretch from base 1 to 120 matches the Rfam family "5.8S ribosomal RNA", at positions 35 to 154 of the family's 154-position model. The record is from RNAcentral.